This 693-nucleotide ribosomal RNA is filed under the name Escherichia coli. Its description in RNAcentral is "partial 23S ribosomal RNA". It matches the Rfam family "Bacterial large subunit ribosomal RNA", at positions 2180 to 2867 of the family's 2925-position model. Lineage: Bacteria; Pseudomonadati; Pseudomonadota; Gammaproteobacteria; Enterobacterales; Enterobacteriaceae. The record is from RNAcentral.
AUGGAGCCGACCUUGAAAUACCACCCUUUAAUGUUUGAUGUUCUAACGUUGACCCGUAAUCCGGGUUGCGGACAGUGUCUGGUGGGUAGUUUGACUGGGGCGGUCUCCUCCUAAAGAGUAACGGAGGAGCACGAAGGUUGGCUAAUCCUGGUCGGACAUCAGGAGGUUAGUGCAAUGGCAUAAGCCAGCUUGACUGCGAGCGUGACGGCGCGAGCAGGUGCGAAAGCAGGUCAUAGUGAUCCGGUGGUUCUGAAUGGAAGGGCCAUCGCUCAACGGAUAAAAGGUACUCCGGGGAUAACAGGCUGAUACCGCCCAAGAGUUCAUAUCGACGGCGGUGUUUGGCACCUCGAUGUCGGCUCAUCACAUCCUGGGGCUGAAGUAGGUCCCAAGGGUAUGGCUGUUCGCCAUUUAAAGUGGUACGCGAGCUGGGUUUAGAACGUCGUGAGACAGUUCGGUCCCUAUCUGCCGUGGGCGCUGGAGAACUGAGGGGGGCUGCUCCUAGUACGAGAGGACCGGAGUGGACGCAUCACUGGUGUUCGGGUUGUCAUGCCAAUGGCACUGCCCGGUAGCUAAAUGCGGAAGAGAUAAGUGCUGAAAGCAUCUAAGCACGAAACUUGCCCCGAGAUGAGUUCUCCCUGACCCUUUAAGGGUCCUGAAGGAACGUUGAAGACGACGACGUUGAUAGGCCGGGUG